Molecule: unclassified non-coding RNA, 304 nt
Filed under: fungal sp.
Lineage: Eukaryota; Fungi
Description: partial internal transcribed spacer region
Source: RNAcentral
AAGUCGUAACAAGGUUUCCGUAGGUGAACCAAGGAUCAUUAACACGUAGGUGAACCUUCAUCGUGCUCCCCCAUUCCGUUAGGACGCGGCAAUCCCUGGUAAAUCAUCGCCGAACAGUUUUGAUUCAGGGACCUCUGCAUGGAGUGGGCAGCAGCGCGAGGCAAGUGGCCUGGCAUUCGAAAGAAUGGCGCAGUAACGAUCGCUAGAGGCCGACACGGCCGGCUGGGCUCACGCCCUAUCACCUUUGCAUGAAAACGGCGGCCACCAAACUCGAACAACUGUUAACAAUGGAUAUCUUGGUCUC